Long non-coding RNA from Gasterosteus aculeatus aculeatus (three-spined stickleback), 1086 nucleotides. Lineage: Eukaryota; Metazoa; Chordata; Actinopteri; Perciformes; Gasterosteidae. The record is from Ensembl.
GGGAAUUGUUGUUGAAAACAGACAAAUCAGAGGAUAGAAAGAAAGAAAUAUUGAAUUGAGCAGCCAUCUCCAUUCAAGGGCCUUGAUCAGAAUAUGCUGGAGGUGCUUGAUAGAAGAAGAAGAAGAAGAAGAAGGAGAAACACAUGGAAAACAAACCACCCUUGAGUGCUGCACGCUCUUCGCCUAUUUAGGGCAGCCAUGUCCAGCAGUGGAUUUGAAUAUGCAUGACUAUCCCAGCAACCCUUGCAGCACAGCUCUGAGACCUGACACCAGCCUUUUCAAAGAAGAAUAUGCAUGCAUCACAUUUGAAUAUGUAACGGGCCCUGUCAUACACAAUAAACACAAUGUCCGUGAAAUGGGUGAAUGAUGAUAAAGUACCCAAAAUCGACUUGGAGUGAUACAACGUUCUUAGAGCACAGACGUGGCCUCUAACUAUAUGAUUAGGAAAUUUUUUAACAUUUUAAAAAUAAAAAAUAAAAUUGAAAUUGUUGAAUUGGGAAUAGGAAUUUGGGGAAAGGGGUUUAUUCGCUUUCUAACCAGUAGAAUGAUUGAAUGUAUCAUCUAAUUAACUGUACUUUUCAAGAUGUAACUCAUCAAUUGGACGUCUUUAACCAUAAGUGAUAAUGCUUCAUAAAAUAUAAUAUAAGCAUGUAUUUUGUCAAAUAGUGACAAAAUGCAAAAUACUAUUCACUCAUUUUUGUCCCAUCACUAACAAUUUUGUUAAAUUGUCUCCCGUUUAUUGAGGCUACGCCGUGAUGAUCACGCUGGCGCAGCCAUUGCCCCAAAUCCCACGCGAACACAAGGCGCAGAUUAAACUGCAUGUUACAGCGAAGUCUGCACAUUGUGCCUCAGAGCCACUGGGUUCCUGGAGAGAAUCCGACUCCAUUCCACUCGAGCAGCACUCACGUGGUGCACUACUUGUAAACCGGGGAGCGGGAGAGUUCACAUCUUGCAGAGUUGGAACGUGGCAACGUGGUGGAUGCGAGGCUCUCCUCCCUGGUCCCGCUGCUAGAGCAGCUAAUUAAAUACUAAGGAAGGAAUAAAACCCUAAUGAGAAGCACAAGCUUGUUGUGGUGUUUGGCACUG